GUGUGUGUGUGUGUGAAGGAGAGACGUAUUAUAGAAGCCAAAAUGGGUGCGUACGUGUGAAAGAAAGAAGAGGGGUCUUAAUCUCUACAGCAUGAAGAGAGAGAAAGUGGAGAGAGAGAGUAGAGAGAGAGAGAGAGAGAGAGGAGAUUAAGGAGGAAGACAGAAGAGUGUGAUUUUAUUGGGUGGUGAGACUGAGAGGUUGAAUGAGCUGUUCUCUUUGUAGCUUAGACAAAUAUUCAUUCUGUUCAAAGGGUUUU
RNAcentral lists this long non-coding RNA (257 nucleotides) under Erythranthe guttata (spotted monkey flower). Its description in RNAcentral is "long non-coding RNA (EGUT_LNC002121)". The record is from RNAcentral. Lineage: Eukaryota; Viridiplantae; Streptophyta; Magnoliopsida; Lamiales; Phrymaceae.